UACAGGGGGUGCAAACGUUGCUCGGAAUCAUUGGGCGUAAAGCGCACGUAGGCGGUUCGUUAUGUCGGAUGUGAAAGCCCUUGGCUUAACCGAGGAAGUGCAUCCGAAACUGGCGAGCUAGAGUACUAAAGAGGAUCGCGGAAUUCCCGGUGUAGAGGUGAAAUUCGUAGAUAUGGGGAGGAACACCGGUGGCGAAGGCGGCCACCUGGACGGUAACUGACGCUGAGACGCGAAAGCGUGGGGAGCAAACAGG
RNAcentral lists this ribosomal RNA (253 nucleotides) under uncultured bacterium. RNAcentral's name for it is "partial 16S ribosomal RNA". It matches the Rfam family "Bacterial small subunit ribosomal RNA", at positions 524 to 776 of the family's 1533-position model. The record is from RNAcentral.